Molecule: long non-coding RNA, 434 nt
Filed under: Mustela putorius furo (domestic ferret)
Lineage: Eukaryota; Metazoa; Chordata; Mammalia; Carnivora; Mustelidae
Description: lncRNA (ENSMPUG00000029338.1)
Source: RNAcentral
CUGAUCCAUUUCUGUGGGGAGAGUGGCUGGCACCAGGGGGACCUUCUCUACAUGGAGAGGUCAAGGAGGAGAUCAAACUCCAUGCUAACUGAGGUCUCUGAAAGGAAGUGGAAAGAGAACAGCCAGCUGAGGGAUGCCAUAUAGUCUUGCAGUUGACGAUCUUGCUUUCUACUUUGCUAAGAACAUGGAAGCCAUGAGAAAACAUCCACAUCGUCCAGCCAUCAGCCACUGGCCCUUACUACACCUGCAUCCACAAACUCUACUUUCCCCCAAUGAGCCAGUGUUUCCAGUGGUAUGUGAGGUCCAAUCCCCUCACAUACCCAAGGUCAUCGGUCCAGCAAUUUUCAUCUUCACUUGUUCUCUCUCUACGGGAUCAGCCCCAUCAAAUGGAAACAUGCCACUAUUCCUCCCAUCCAUUAAAACAAAAACAGAAA